Molecule: ribosomal RNA, 879 nt
Filed under: Triticum aestivum (bread wheat)
Lineage: Eukaryota; Viridiplantae; Streptophyta; Magnoliopsida; Poales; Poaceae
Description: partial small subunit ribosomal RNA
Source: RNAcentral
GCUCAAUUCAGCAUCACUUAGGAGGGAAUUUGGAGAGCUCAGAAAGUUAUUACCGACCAUAAUCACCAGCUUGUAAGUCCAGAUAAGAGGCACAUGCUGAGGUCACAGCGUCAACUCUUAGAUGCCGAUCGCCACAUGAUUAAGCAAAUGAGAACAUGGGCAAUUAAACAAGCUGAAAUAUAUGAUUUCUGUGAGCUUUGGUAUGGUAAAGAUGCUAUAUGCUUCUUGCAAAUGGAUUGCAACAAUUAUUUAUGAAGUGACCGCUCAAAGUAUUUGUAAACCAAAGAUGCACAAACAUUAAUGAAGUAUCUAAAGAACAAGCAAGUAGAGGACCCUUCAUUUUUCUAUGACAUGCAGUUAGAUGAUGAUGAUGAUGGUACAAUAAUGAACAUCUUUUGGACUAAUGGACAAGCUGUUAUGGACCAUUCUGUCUUUGGAGAUGCCCUUUCCUUUGACACCACAUUUUCAACAUACUUGUUUCAAAUGUCAUUUGCUCCAUUUAUUGGUGUUAAUCAUCACAAGCAGACUAUUCUUUUUGGUGCAGCAAUACUAUAUAAUGAAUCUGCAAAUACCUUUGAGUGGGUUAUUAGAACCUUUCUAGAAGCUAUAUCUAUUAAGCAGCCUGAAACAAUAUUCACUGAUCAAUGUGCCGCCAUUAUAAAUGCUAUUGGAAGGGUUUUCCCAAGAACACGACAUCGUCUUUGUUUAUCGCAUUUCUAUCAAAAUGUUGCAAAAGAUCUAAGUCUACUAAUCAGCGACGAUGACAAUUUUCUUAAAGAAUUCAAAAUAUGUGUGUAUGAAGAUAGAUCACUGGCACAUUUUGAGAAUAGAUGGCAUGAGCUCUUGCUCAAGAGCGGAUUGAAGAUAAUUCUUGGAUAA